ACGAAAGUCUGACCGAGCAACGCCGCGUGAGUGAAGAAGGUUUUCGGAUCGUAAAACUCUGUUGGUAGAGAAGAACGUUGGUGAGAGUGGAAAGCUCAUCAAGUGACGGUAACUACCCAGAAAGGGACGGCUAACUACGUGCCAGCAGCCGCGGUAAUACAUAGGUC
RNAcentral lists this ribosomal RNA (167 nucleotides) under uncultured Lactococcus sp. RNAcentral's name for it is "partial 16S ribosomal RNA". It matches the Rfam family "Bacterial small subunit ribosomal RNA", at positions 375 to 533 of the family's 1533-position model. Lineage: Bacteria; Bacillati; Bacillota; Bacilli; Lactobacillales; Streptococcaceae. The record is from RNAcentral.